GUAUUUACAACUUCUACUAGUGGCAGAGCUUUUGAGUCUAUUGAAAUCUUUGAACAAGACCCAUCUGUAAGGAAAGCUUUGAUAGUAUGCAGAGUAAUAGCUGGGAGAGUUCAUAAGCCUUUGGAUAAUAUACAAGAAAUAUCUGGCCAAACAGGGUUUGAUUCAUUAGCAGGAAAAGUUGGUCUCUACUCAAAUAUUGAGGAGCUGUAUCUUCUAAAUCCCAGAGCUCUUCUUCCUUGCUUUGUGGUAAUCUGCAAAACCUGACCAGAAGACAGUAAAAGAAUCACUUACAAUUUGCUAUCAAGUUAUGUGAAUCCCUUUUUUAAUCUUUUGAUGAUAGAAGAUUCUUCUCAAUCUUCUAUUUUGAAGAAAUUUGAUUCUUCCUCUUACAAUCUUUCUGCCCUUUUUUUAGUGUAAUUGUUUCUGCCCUUAUUUACAGUUGCAUAAUUUCUUCAUUUUCUUGUCCAUUUUUAAGAUCAAUGAUGCAUAUAUUUCAAAUUAGAUUGCUGUUAUUUGCACAUAUAUAAACAUGGAGACCAUUCUUUUUUCUAAGUUGAAUAUGGUUAUCUGUAUUGGUGAAGAAAUUGAAAGUACAUGGAUUUUGUAGUAUAAUAAUAUGUAUAACUUCUGACAAGCUAGAGCAUCAAGGCACAAUGCAGAUGUAGGCAUCUCACUUCAGUUAUGAGCUGGCAAUACAAUUUGAAAAGUACUUGGAUACAGAGUUUGAUUUGAUUUACUUGAAAACUCCAAAGAAACAAAUAAUUAUAUGAAUCAUGCCCAGAAGUCACAUUUGAGAAACAGAGAAAGUUUAUAUACCUAGCUUGAUUCUACAUAGUUUUGAAUAUAAAUUCUUCAAUGUAAAUUUGUGUGAUUUGCUUCACAUGCUUGCAAGGCAUUAUUUGAUGUAUGUAAACUGGAAAGUUUGCAUGUGGGCUUUGUUGGAAGGUUAAGGUUGAAACAAAAGGCUAGCCCAAACCAAGAGGACAAUUAUGUGCUCACUAUAUGACUUUGAUUUUGUCAGUUCUGUUCCCAGUUUCGGUCACUAUUUGAAUUUAUGCCUGAAUAUCCUUGUUCUGUUUUUUGCCUUUUUUUCCUUUUUUGGUUUGGUUUUUCCUCUGUAGCUUGACUCAAAAGCUCUGCCACUAGUAAAGAUUUCAUUGUAUGGCUUGUUUCAAUGUCUAGAUAGUUAGGCUUUUUCUGUAAUAAAGAUGGUUAUUUAUUGUGCAAAGAAAAGGGAGCUUGUCAUUCAUAUAGUAGACUAUAUGUCUAUAUCUCAUGUAUUGAAUAUGCGGAUAUUGUUUGAAAUUCAACGAUCUUAUCAUAUUCAUGAGGACAGUGUUUGUUUAGGGAGUGAAACAAAGGAAGAGAAGUGAUGUCAAAUGUAAGUUUGAUAGAUUUUUUAAAUCAUUAUUGUCUUGUAUGUUUAAUGAAUAUCAUCGACAAAGAAGUCAGAGAUUGAACUGAAUAAUGCUUAUUGUCUUAAUUCUGAAAGUUACAAGGCAGUAUAUUUAUACAAUAAUUCUAAUAUAGUAAUAUUCUAAAUUAGGAAAUUAGGAUAUACAAAAAAUAUAAAUAUUUCUUUUACAACCUUUUAGGAACCUUAGGAAAUAUCUCAUGUCCCAUCUUGCAAAUUAAAUUAUGGAAAUAUUUGCUAUUGAUUCCCUUAAUGAAAAUAUCAAUCAACUGAUUCCAUAAAUCACACAAGCAAUAUCCGAAACUCCACUAUUUAGUUUCUCUUUGAUGAAAUAUUGAUUGAAUUUUUAUGUGUGUUGUUUAAUCAUGCUGAACUAGAAUGUUGGGCAAUGCUAAUGGCAGUCUUAUUAUUGCAGUAUAAGGACACUUUUUUUUUUUAAAUCCAGCAAUUCUAGCUCCUGUAUUGAUCUCUGAAUCCAUAGAAGUUCACAAACACCUUGAGCCAUGACUCUGUAUUUAGCCUUUGUACUUGAUCUUGUCACUAUGUUAUGCUUCUUGCUUCUCCAUGUGUCUAGAUUUCCAUUGAAAAAUGUGCAAUAACCCUAUGUAGAUCCACCUUAAUUUGCAUCUAUAUAGCCUUCUACUUUUAGAUGACCAUGUUUGGCAAGCAACCGUCUCUUGGAGCUGAUUUCAGAUAACUUAAAGUACGAAGUACAGCUUCUAAAUGUGAAUCCGGAGGAUUGUAUGCAUAAAUUGACUAAUACCACUUGAAGCAAAAGAUCAUGCAUAAAUUUUCUUGUCUAAAUACGGUUCUGGUGCAGAAAUCCACCGCUUUGGGGAACAGUGAAAUAUCUCUCUGAGAAAAUUCCAAAAGAUACUUCUAGCAAGGUGCGGAUAAAUCGCGAUCUCUAUUCUCAUGAAAAAAUAAUGGAGACAGCACCGACAUUGCCCGAUUUUGCUUUGUCCUUGAAACUCGACGAGUAUCAACUUCCUUCGCUGGAUUCAUCUUGGAACGAAGAGAAUGUGAAUGGAGGGUAAGCCUAUUCCGACAAAUCAAGAGUGAAGGCUGUUUGUAAUCUUUGCAGAAAGAAGCUAUACUAGAAAAGCCAUCUCAAAAACUUGGAGUGGCCAAUUAAACAGGUGUAUCAUUCUUCAACUGUGUACCAAAGGUCCACUUUAGCCCCACAUUUUUUAAGUAAAGUUUUCUUUUUCUUUUCCAAGAUUUCUUUUCCAACCUUAAAGCUUUGUAGCUUACCCUGUAAUAGAGCUUUGUGCAAGUUCCCGUUGUGUGUAAAUUUCUUACUGCGAAAAAAGAAUUGUUUUCCUUGCUUGUAAAAUUGAUUAUAGCAAUAAACAUGAUUUUCUCUCUC
Molecule: long non-coding RNA, 2783 nt
Organism: Manihot esculenta (cassava)
Lineage: Eukaryota; Viridiplantae; Streptophyta; Magnoliopsida; Malpighiales; Euphorbiaceae
Exons: 2
Source: RefSeq, a predicted model, not a curated record